Molecule: ribosomal RNA, 589 nt
Filed under: Meyerozyma caribbica
Lineage: Eukaryota; Fungi; Ascomycota; Pichiomycetes; Serinales; Debaryomycetaceae
Description: eukaryotic LSU rRNA
Rfam family: Eukaryotic large subunit ribosomal RNA
Source: RNAcentral
CGGAGGAAAAGAAACCAACAGGGAUUGCCUUAGUAGCGGCGAGUGAAGCGGCAAAAGCUCAAAUUUGAAAUCUGGCACCUUCGGUGUCCGAGUUGUAAUUUGAAGAUUGUAACCUUGGGGUUGGCUCUUGUCUAUGUUUCUUGGAACAGGACGUCACAGAGGGUGAGAAUCCCGUGCGAUGAGAUGCCCAAUCCUAUGUAAGGUGCUUUCGAAGAGUCGAGUUGUUUGGGAAUGCAGCUCUAAGUGGGUGGUAAAUUCCAUCUAAAGCUAAAUAUUGGCGAGAGACCGAUAGCGAACAAGUACAGUGAUGGAAAGAUGAAAAGAACUUUGAAAAGAGAGUGAAAAAGUACGUGAAAUUGUUGAAAGGGAAGGGUUUGAGAUCAGACUCGAUAUUUUGUGAGCCUUGCCUUCGUGGCGGGGUGACCCGCAGCUUAUCGGGCCAGCAUCGGUUUGGGCGGUAGGAUAAUGGCGUAGGAAUGUGACUUUGCUUCGGUGAAGUGUUAUAGCCUGCGUUGAUGCUGCCUGCCUAGACCGAGGACUGCGAUUUUAUCAAGGAUGCUGGCAUAAUGAUCCCAAACCGCCCGUCUUA